Molecule: long non-coding RNA, 2556 nt
Filed under: Danio rerio (zebrafish)
Lineage: Eukaryota; Metazoa; Chordata; Actinopteri; Cypriniformes; Danionidae
Description: integrin, alpha 7 (ENSDARG00000117448.1)
Source: RNAcentral
GUGUCAGUGAUGAUCUACCCAGAGAUCGGGCUGUCAGAUCAGUAUGGCGUCCCCUGGUGGAUCAUCCUCAUCGCUGUCCUGGCUGGAGUGCUUGUGCUGGCGCUGCUCGUGUGUUUACUGUGGAAGGUAUGUGUGUACCUGAACACACACACACACACACACACACACACACACACACACACACUGCACAGAUAAUGCACCGACUGGAUGUUCCUAUGUAGUGUAGCUGUUCCUGGCCAUGGCGGUGCUGGUCCAGUCCUCCACGGUCAAUAGAGUGUCUCGUCAUGACCCGUAGACUGAUUCGAGUCGUUUAGAGCUGUAAUUCUCAGAUUCUGCUCCUUCUUUCUUCGCUCUCCCUCAUGUUCCUCACACCUCACUUCCUUUCCCACUCAGGAAGUAAAUACGUGCUGUAAAUGUCUAGCGCAGCAUCAGGGUGUGACAGUAUUAGUCCUACAGGAGUGUUCUCAGAAGUGCACACAGUAGAUCAGGGUGGGCCACUUCAUACACUCGUCUCUCAUCAUCUGUUAACUCUGUUCAUCUCUGAUGCUUUAACCACACUCUGCUGUUAUUCCUUCUCCUUCCUCUUCCUCAUCAUCUUCCUCGUUAUCCUCUACCUCUUCUUCUUGCUCUUCUUCCCCCUCUCCCUCCUCCUCUCGUGUGUGUGUCUGUUCUCUGUUGCCCUCUGCUGGAUCAGUGUGGUUUCUUCAAGCGUGCGGAGCGGCAGCCGCAGUAUGAAACGGAGUAUCACUGCGCUCACCUGCAGCAGCAGCCGUCAGACGCCGAGCGGAAACACACCGAGCUGCAGUGAGGGCUCGUCACAGCACCUGCAGACGCUCACGUGUGGUUUCUUCAGAAGGGUUCGGCAUGAAGAUCAGGUUCCUCAGUAUCAGGCGGUGAAGAUCAUGCGGCGGGACGCUCCACUGCUGGACGACACACUCAUUCUGCACAAACGGCAGUGGGCGACACACUGGAGCCAGGGGUCCAUCUGAGACUGCAGACACACACACACACACACACACACACACACACACUCAUUGAAGAGGAACACACACUCAUGUGGAGAGUUGACCAGCUUUCCCUCAGGAUCUGCAGGCUGACAGGAGACGUCUGGAGUAGCGCUGCAUCUGGCUGCAGGCUGAUCCUCGGUCAGUGGAUAUUAACAGAUGCAGGGUCGUCAGGGCUGAGGGAUCACGCGUCUGCAGGAGCUUCCAGCAUCAGCUGAACACAGAAGAGGAUAUUCUGCAGAUGAACACUGGAGGUCUGCGGGUCUCCAGCAUCUCCAGAAUAUCUGCUGUAGUGUUGAUCAGAUCAAUGAAGCUGUGGAGAUUAAAUUGAUGAUGACAGAAUAAUAUCUGGGUGAAUUAACCCUUUCAGACGGUUAUUGAUGUGUAGAGGUGUGUGUGUGUGUGUGUGUGUGUGUGAACUCAUGAAGCCGCUGCAGUUCUUCUGUUCUUCAGGCUUUUGGACAUUGAGCUUUACUCGUCUGCUCUUCAUGCUCUCCUCACGGCUUCAUUGCCCUUUCGCACUGAGUUAUAUGAACAUUAGAGUGUGUUACAGUAUCCGUGAGCUGUUCCUCAGUGUUUUGCACAGGCGUCUGCCGCUCUGCUCUGAUCAUGUGCCGCUGUCUGCUUUAUUUAUUGCUGAUGUUGAUCUGAGUAUGUUGUCCUGUUCCUCCAUUGAUCGGUCCAGUUCAGCAGAUCCUCAGGACAGUAUAGUGUUGCUCAGAUGAUGAGGAGUGUGUGUUCUGUGUGCUUCUGUCAUGUGUCUUUGUACACUGAAAUCAACAAGUAAAAUGUUCAACUCUAGUUCAGUCGAUCGCCUGCUUUACAGUCUUUACCUGUUCCCUGAACAUGAAUUUGUGAAGGUGAUGAUGAUGAUGAUUGUUAUGAUUAUUAUUAUGUGUUGAGGAAGAAGUUCCUGCAUCUGUUCUCCUUCACUACAGCUUUGGCUGUUUACUCUCUGCUGUCCUUCCAGAUCUGUCAGUUCCUGUUUUGUCCGCUAGAUGUCGCCGUCUCAGUUCAGUUCAGUUCAGUCAGAGGUGAACACACACACACACACACACGAAGAAAACAUCUGUGUUUUUCUGAAAGCUGCAGGACUGAUUGGAAGCAGGUGAGCUGAUCACAGCAGCUCCUGGAGAAUGUGUGUGUGUCUUUCCCAAACUCCUGCCAGAGAGAAGCUGAUCCAGAACUGAUGAACUCUCUCUCUGUCUCUCUCUCUCUCUCUGUCUCUCUCCCUCUCUCUGUCUCUCUCUCUCUCUCUCUCUCUCUCUCUCUCUCUCUCUCUCUCUCUCUCUCUCUCAUUAUAGCUGCAUUGUCGUUAUAUCACAGCGCACUGAUUGAUUAUACUGAUAUAUGGACAUAUUGAGCUAAGCAGACAGUAAAUCUAGAGCAAUGAUAUAAUCGAUUAUUAAACAAUAUAAUAUAGAAUGUAUAUGAAAUAUUGAACUGGUUUGAGAUAACAGUAAUUAUUGUAGUGUAAGUGUUCCCACACUGAUCCUCAUCUCUACAGGUUUCCUCUGGAUUCAGUGGUGACCGUGUGGUGAGUGGAGUAAAC